CCCUUAGAUGUUCUGAACCGCACGCGUGUUACACUGAUGCAUUCAACGAGCUUUACCUUGGGCGAGAGGCCUGGGAAAUCUUUUUAGCAUGCAUCGUGAUAGGGAUUGAUUAUUGCAAUUAUUAAUCAUGAACGAGGAAUUCCUAGUAAACGCAUUUCAUCAAAAUGCAUUGAUUACGUCCCUGCCCUUUGUACACACCGCCCGUCGCACCUACCGAUUGAGUGGUCCGGUGAAGUCUCGAGAUUGUGGCAAUCUCCUUUAUUGGAGUUUGACUGCGAGAACUUGCCUAAACCUUAUCACUUAGAGGAAGGUGAAGUCGUAACA
RNAcentral lists this ribosomal RNA (324 nucleotides) under uncultured eukaryote. RNAcentral describes it as "partial 18S ribosomal RNA". It matches the Rfam family "Eukaryotic small subunit ribosomal RNA", at positions 1470 to 1796 of the family's 1831-position model. The record is from RNAcentral.